This 320-nucleotide ribosomal RNA is filed under the name uncultured eukaryote. RNAcentral describes it as "partial 18S ribosomal RNA". It matches the Rfam family "Eukaryotic small subunit ribosomal RNA", at positions 1470 to 1796 of the family's 1831-position model. The record is from RNAcentral.
CCCUUAGAUGUUCUGGGCCGCACGCGCGCUACACUGAUGCAUUCAACGAGUUUUUCCUGGUCCGAGAGGAAUGGGUAACCUUUUGAAAGUGCAUCGUGCUAGGGAUAGACUAUUGCAAUUAUUGGUCUUCAACGAGGAAUUCCUAGUAGACGUAGUUCAUCAGACUGCAUCGAUUACGUCCCUGCCCUUUGUACACACCGCCCGUCGCUCCUACCGAUUGGAUGAUCCGGUGAAAUCUCGGGACGGCGGCUUGGUCGCUUGCGUCCGACUGCUGAAACUUGAUUAAACCAUAUCAUUUAGAGGAAGGUGAAGUCGUAACA